GUGUCUAUUUCAAAAGGCAAAGUGUUAUUUGGUAUGCUGUUUUUGUCAACGUAAUAACAAUCGCUAUGUGUCGUCAUAAACAUUGCGUUAACACAAAAAUCCUAAAGACAGCUUACAAAAGGUAAAUCUAACGAACAUAUUUAUUUCCGGUUACGGGGGUCAUGCUUGCUUUAUGUAUGAUCCAAAUAUGGUCAAAUUUUUAUAUAGGGUACCAGUCUUGACCAUUUCUUGUAUCAAUGUAAGUCUUCUUGUAUUGGUAUGGAUACGUACGAGAUGGAAUCCUAUUUUACAAACAAACACAUCCACAAAUAGAAGAAUGGUGAUUUUUUAUGCCAUCAUGACUGCUGUUAUGCUUUUAAAACAAUGUGUGGGAUAUUUUAGCAAGCUCACAGACCAAAAAUUUUUAUUUUUCAUAUUAUAAUGUUUUUAGAAAGUACUUACGGUAUGAUUUUUCUUGUUGUUUUUGUGACGUCAACAGAGAUUCGUUGGCUACCUGCGUAUUGGAAGCUUACUCAUAGAACUCGUCAUUACAAAGAUACGCUUGCUGAAACAAACUUACCCCCUUAUGAUGUUGAAGAAAAAUAUAAAAC
Molecule: long non-coding RNA, 590 nt
Filed under: Mytilus galloprovincialis (Mediterranean mussel)
Lineage: Eukaryota; Metazoa; Mollusca; Bivalvia; Mytilida; Mytilidae
Source: RNAcentral